UUAAUUGAAGAGUUUGAUCAUGGCUCAGAUUGAACGCUGGCGGCAGGCCUAACACAUGCAAGUCGAGCGGUAACAGAAAGAAAGCUUGCUUUCUUUGCUGACGAGCGGCGGACGGGUGAGUAAUGCCUGGGAAUAUACCCUGAUGUGGGGGAUAACUAUUGGAAACGAUAGCUAAUACCGCAUAAUCUCUUCGGAGCAAAGAGG
Molecule: ribosomal RNA, 204 nt
Filed under: Photobacterium iliopiscarium
Lineage: Bacteria; Pseudomonadati; Pseudomonadota; Gammaproteobacteria; Vibrionales; Vibrionaceae
Description: partial 16S ribosomal RNA
Rfam family: Bacterial small subunit ribosomal RNA
Source: RNAcentral